RNAcentral lists this long non-coding RNA (264 nucleotides) under Paramuricea clavata. Lineage: Eukaryota; Metazoa; Cnidaria; Anthozoa; Malacalcyonacea; Plexauridae. The record is from RNAcentral.
CAAAGGGUCAAAAAAAUUUUACGGACUAACCUCACACAUUUUCCCUGACAAAUUUUACUUAAAACAUGCUUUAAACGCGUUUUUUGCACCAAUAUCUGCAACAUUUAUGUUUAGAAAAUUUUUUCUCACACCAUUACUUAUAUCAAAAAACGUUUUAUUUUCCAAAUUUGGGGGCCACCCUUACACAACUAAUAAUUUCCCCUAUUGAAAAGUCUUUGCACACAUUUUUUUAAACUUUUUUCGUGCUCGAAGUUGUUUUUUUUU